GGGCUCGUUGCAUAGCAUGGAUAGUGCGAACGCUUGCGGAGCGUUAGGUCGGGGGUUCGAAUCCCUUCGGGCCCGCCA
Molecule: transfer RNA, 78 nt
Filed under: Nitrososphaerota archaeon
Lineage: Archaea; Thermoproteati; Nitrososphaerota
Description: Thaumarchaeota archaeon (sponge metagenome) tRNA-Arg
Rfam family: tRNA
About the family: Transfer RNA (tRNA) molecules are approximately 80 nucleotides in length.
Source: RNAcentral